UACGUAGGUGGCGAGCGUUGUCCGGAUUUACUGGGCGUAAAGGGAGCGUAGGCGGACUUUUAAGUGAGAUGUGAAAUACCCGAGCUCAACUUGGGUGCUGCAUUUCAAACUGGAAGUCUAGAGUGCAGGAGAGGAGAAUGGAAUUCCUAGUGUAGCGGUGAAAUGCGUAGAGAUUAGGAAGAACACCAGUGGCGAAGGCGAUUCUCUGGACUGUAACUGACGCUGAGGCUCGAAAGCGUGGGGAGCAAACAGGAUUAGAUACCCG
This 265-nucleotide ribosomal RNA is filed under the name uncultured prokaryote. RNAcentral describes it as "partial 16S ribosomal RNA". It matches the Rfam family "Bacterial small subunit ribosomal RNA", at positions 524 to 788 of the family's 1533-position model. The record is from RNAcentral.